Molecule: ribosomal RNA, 253 nt
Filed under: uncultured bacterium
Lineage: Bacteria
Description: partial 16S ribosomal RNA
Rfam family: Bacterial small subunit ribosomal RNA
Source: RNAcentral
UACGAAGGGGGCUAACGUUGUUCGGAAUUACUGGGCGUAAAGGGCGCGUAGGCGGUGUGUCAAGUCAGGCGUGAAAGCCCCGGGCUCAACCUGGGAACCGCGCUUGAGACUGGCACGCUCGAGUUCGGGAGAGGAUGGUGGAAUUCCCAGUGUAGAGGUGAAAUUCGUAGAUAUUGGGAAGAACACCGAUGGCGAAGGCAGCCAUCUGGACCGACACUGACGCUGAGGCGCGAAAGCGUGGGGAGCAAACAGG